Molecule: ribosomal RNA, 292 nt
Filed under: uncultured bacterium
Lineage: Bacteria
Description: partial 16S ribosomal RNA
Rfam family: Bacterial small subunit ribosomal RNA
Source: RNAcentral
GUGCCAGCAGCCGCGGUAAGACAGAGGGUGCAAACGUUGUUCGGAAUUACUGGGCAUAAAGCGCACGUAGGUGGUCCGCUAAGUCGCGUGUGAAAUCCCCCGGCUCAACCGGGGAAAUGCGCGUGAUACUGGCGGGCUUGAGAUCGGGAGGGGUGAAUGGAACUCCAGGUGGAGCGGUGAAAUGCGUAGAUAUCUGGAGGAACACCGGUGGCGAAAGCGGUUCACUGGCCCGACACUGACACUGAGGUGCGAAAGCUAGGGUAGCAAACGGGAUUAGAAACCCGCGUAGUCC